AGCGAACGCUGGCGGCAGGCCUAACACAUGCAAGUCGAACGAACUCUUCGGAGUUAGUGGCGGACGGGUGAGUAACACGUGGGAACGUGCCUUUAGGUUCGGAAUAACUCAGGGAAACUUGUGCUAAUACCGAAUGUGCCCUUCGGGGGAAAGAUUUAUCGCCUUUAGAGCGGCCCGCGUCUGGUUAGCUAGUUGGUGAGGUAACGGCUCACCAAGGCGACGAGCAGUAGCCGGUCUGAGAGGAUGGCCAGCCACACUGGGACUGAGACACGGCCCAGACUCCUACGGGAGGCAGCAGUGGGGAAUCUUGCGCAAUGGGCGAAAGCCUGACGCAGCCAUGCCGCGUGAAUGAUGAAGGUCUUAGGAUUGUAAAAUUCUUUCACCGGGGACGAUAAUGACGGUACCCGGAGAAGAAGCCCCGGCUAACUUCGUGCCAGCCGCCGCCGUAG
This 449-nucleotide ribosomal RNA is filed under the name uncultured bacterium. RNAcentral describes it as "partial 16S ribosomal RNA". It matches the Rfam family "Bacterial small subunit ribosomal RNA", at positions 29 to 523 of the family's 1533-position model. The record is from RNAcentral.